AAAAGUAGAAGUCUGGUGAAAUUACUCAAUCUUCGGCUCCUCCGACUGAAGUGGAAGCCCCAGUAGCGAAGCCGGAACAGCCUCCACCGGCUUCGGUGCAUUCCUUGCCGCAACCGGGAUCGCGACGAAGGUCUUGUUCUUGCUUAUGGGUCGACUCUUCUCGAGCUGGACAUAGUCGCCGACUUUGAACUGGUUAUCCGGGUCAUGCGCCUGAAACUUCUUCUUUAUCCGGAUGCGGCGCUUGUACUUGGGGUGCUGGGCGAGGCGGACAACCUCAACGGCGACAGUCUUGUCGUUGGCUGAGCAUACGACUCGGCCCUGCAUCUUCUUCAUGGCGUGGAUGGUGAGGGAGGCGGGGCGAGG
This 363-nucleotide unclassified non-coding RNA is filed under the name Hevea brasiliensis (rubber tree). The record is from RNAcentral. Lineage: Eukaryota; Viridiplantae; Streptophyta; Magnoliopsida; Malpighiales; Euphorbiaceae.